RNAcentral lists this ribosomal RNA (254 nucleotides) under uncultured bacterium. Its description in RNAcentral is "partial 16S ribosomal RNA". It matches the Rfam family "Bacterial small subunit ribosomal RNA", at positions 524 to 776 of the family's 1533-position model. The record is from RNAcentral.
UACGUAGGUGGCAAGCGUUGUCCGGAUUUACUGGGCGUAAAGGGCGCGUAGGCGGCCAGCACAAGUCAGUUGUGAAAUCUCCGGGCUUAACUCGGAAAGGUCAACUGAUACUGUGCGACUAGAGUGCAGAAGGGGCAACUGGAAUUCUCGGUGUAGCGGUGAAAUGCGUAGAUAUCGAGAGGAACACCUGCGGCGAAGGCGGGUUGCUGGGCUGACACUGACGCUGAUGCGCGAAAGCCAGGGGAGCGAACGGG